CCUGUUCGAGCGUCAUUACACCACUCAAGCAUCGCUUGGUAUUGGGCACCGCGGGAGACCGCGCGCCUCGAAUGACCCGGCGGGGCACUCUGGAUCCCAAGCGUAGCAGCAAAGUUCGCUUGCGGGUGUGGGUGCCCCCGCCGUUAAACCUUACAUAUCAGGUUGACCUCGGAUCAGGUAGGGAUACCCGCUGAACUUAA
RNAcentral lists this unclassified non-coding RNA (200 nucleotides) under soil metagenome. RNAcentral describes it as "partial contains internal transcribed spacer 2 and large subunit ribosomal RNA". The record is from RNAcentral.